This 292-nucleotide ribosomal RNA is filed under the name uncultured bacterium. Its description in RNAcentral is "partial 16S ribosomal RNA". It matches the Rfam family "Bacterial small subunit ribosomal RNA", at positions 505 to 796 of the family's 1533-position model. The record is from RNAcentral.
GUGCCAGCCGCCGCGGUAAUACGGAGGGUGCAAGCGUUAUCCGGAAUCACUGGGUUUAAAGGGUGCGUAGGCGGCUAUAUAAGUCAGAGGUGAAAGGCUACGGCUUAACUGUGGGAUUGCCUUUGAUACUGUAUAGCUGGAAUCAGGUUGAAGUUAGUGGAAUGCGGCAUGUAGCGGUGAAAUGCAUAGAUAUGUCGUAGAACACCGAUUGCGAAGGCAGCUAACUGGGCUUGAAUUGACGCUGAGGCACGAAAGCGUGGGGAUCGAACAGGAUUAGAUACCCCAGUAGUCC